Molecule: ribosomal RNA, 253 nt
Filed under: uncultured bacterium
Lineage: Bacteria
Description: partial 16S ribosomal RNA
Rfam family: Bacterial small subunit ribosomal RNA
Source: RNAcentral
UACGGGAGGGGCAAGCGUUGUUCGGAAUUACUGGGCGUAAAGGGCUCGUAGGCGGCCAACUAAGUCGGAUGUGAAAUCCCCAGGCUUAACCUGGGAACUGCAUCCGAUACUGGAUGGCUUGAAUCCGGGAGAGGGAUGCGGAAUUCCAGGUGUAGCGGUGAAAUGCGUAGAUAUCUGGAGGAACACCGGUGGCGAAGGCGGCAUCCUGGACCGGCAUUGACGCUGAGGAGCGAAAGCCAGGGGAGCAAACGGG